This 1381-nucleotide long non-coding RNA is filed under the name Gossypium barbadense (sea-island cotton). Its description in RNAcentral is "long non-coding RNA (GBAR_LNC014812)". The record is from RNAcentral. Lineage: Eukaryota; Viridiplantae; Streptophyta; Magnoliopsida; Malvales; Malvaceae.
CUCAAUGUCAUUAAUGGCAUAUUACAUGCAUAUCAAUUAGUGUUUAAAAAUUCAGCAUGCUAUACAUGCAUACAGUACAUACAUUUUCAUUAGGACUUAGUAAUCAGAGAUUUGACACCAAUGUAUGGUCAACCAAUUACAGCACAAAGUCAUACAUCACAUACAGCUCAUACACAAUUCAUUCGGUUCCAAUAUUGCCUUUAACAAUCGAGCUAUCUAUUUAAACACGUACCUCACUCAGCACCUCAUCUACUAGCACCUAAGCCAUUCAACCAUGUCAAAACCAGUAAGUAAAUUUACCAUUUAAACACAUAUUAGGUUUUUAGACUAAUUUAGCAAAAGGAAAGAUCAACACCUUAAUUCGCAAGUGCACAACACUAAUCUGUAAAGUUCGUGCUUCCACACUUAAGCCUUAGAUGUUCCUAAAUCAAAAUUAGAGCACUUAACAUAUUAAAUUACAGUUAAAACCAACCUUGAAACACCCUUUCAGGGUUUGGCCAAAUCAGUGCUAUACUAACAAUUUCUUAGAUCAUUUCGACAAGGUAACUUACAUUGAUUUGAUGCCAAAUGAGGGUGCAAAUGAAAUUCGACUUCACUGCUGAUCUGAGACAUCAAAAUCAGUUUCUAAGUUCGAAAUAACACACAAAAAUAAAUAAUUAAAAUUUAACCUAAAGCCUUGAGCAUUCGGCCAAAACAGUAACCAUUAACGAAAUCAAAUGGCAUAAGAUCUUGCAUAAAUCCGCACUUACACUAUCCAAUAACCAGAUCUGAGAUGUCGAAUGAACGUGUUCGGAUACCCUAUUUAUUUGGAACAUUAAGGGAUAUUUUAAAUAGAGAAAAAACAAAGAACACAUUGUUGUAAGGGGUGACAAAUGAAGAGAAAACAGCAGCCCAAACUAUUGGUGUUCUAAGGGCGGAAACACCACAAACAACGAUAGAAAAAGAGGCUGACUUAGGCAGCACAAAGAGAGAUCUUAGGGCAGUAGAGGGGAUGGUUUUUAGGGCUAGAAAUAAUAGUAAAGUGGCUGUGAAAACAAUAGCAAAAUUGACAAGCAAAGGAAAAGAAAAGAGAAGGAAAACUGAAACUAAUUGGUACCACGACAAGUGGAGGAGAGAGGCGGCUGGACAGCAAAGGGAGGCUGAUUUAGGGAUUAAAAUGACAAUAAUGCGGCUAGAAAAAUGGCAGAAAAAUAAUAGGCAAAGAGGUGGCACAACAAUGGUGAAUUUCACUGUGUUUGGAAUGGCACAAGGGGAAAAAGAAAAAAAUUAGAAGAAUGGGAGAGGGAGAUGAAAGGGACAUCAAAAGCAGAGGAAGAACAGAGGAGAGAUAGAAAAAACGAUAGAAAUAACAUAUAUACCUAGGGUUUAGCUAGGUUGGGCG